CAGGAAGGCAAUAAAGGUUCAGGUUAGACAGGAAGAGGCUCUCUUGGGAAGCUACGGUGGCAUGGUGAGCUAAGGCAGAUCUCCAAGUGCUCCAGUUGUUCCAAAGUAAACGCCGCCAUCUGUCCAUUGACUGUGGAAAUUUCAUCACCGUCUCCAGUGAAACAGCAUUCAUCUAUGUUGGGGCUGCCUUCUAACCACCCAAUAAGAUAUUAAAGUUCAAACCUGGAGGCUCCAUGGAACAUCUAUCAACAUGACUGAGCAGGAGGUGCUGGGGGAAGCAG
Long non-coding RNA from Peromyscus eremicus (cactus mouse), 281 nucleotides. RefSeq lists it as uncharacterized. The record is from RefSeq and is a predicted model, not a curated record. The transcript has 3 exons. NCBI's taxonomy places the organism in Eukaryota, Metazoa, Chordata, Mammalia, Rodentia, Cricetidae.